This 29-nucleotide small RNA is filed under the name Bombyx mori (domestic silkworm). RNAcentral's name for it is "ovarian small RNA-16450". Lineage: Eukaryota; Metazoa; Arthropoda; Insecta; Lepidoptera; Bombycidae. The record is from RNAcentral.
GCACUUCGGAGUCGGCUCCCUCCGGGCGA